This 31-nucleotide non-coding RNA is filed under the name Rattus norvegicus (Norway rat). Lineage: Eukaryota; Metazoa; Chordata; Mammalia; Rodentia; Muridae. The record is from RNAcentral.
UCAAAGAACAAGCAAGGGUGUCCAAUACACA